RNAcentral lists this ribosomal RNA (305 nucleotides) under uncultured bacterium. RNAcentral describes it as "bacterial SSU rRNA". It matches the Rfam family "Bacterial small subunit ribosomal RNA", at positions 335 to 658 of the family's 1533-position model. The record is from RNAcentral.
UGCCUACGGGGGGCAGCAGUGGGGAAUAUUGCACAAUGGGGGAAACCCUGAUGCAGCGACGCCGCGUGAAGGGAGAAGUAUUUCGGUAUGUAAACUUCUAUCAGCAGGGAAGAAAAUGACGGUACCUGACUAAGAAGCCCCGGCUAACUACGUGCCAGCAGCCGCGGUAAUACGUAGGGGGCAAGCGUUAUCCGGAUUUACUGGGUGUAAAGGGAGCGUAGGCGGUUUAGCAAGUCAGAAGUGAAACGCAUGAGCUCAACUCAUGCAUGGCUUUGGAAACUGGAGGACUGGAGAGCAGGAGAGGG